CAUGUAGUACACGUGUGUGUACAUGUAGUCUUCUUUUUGUCCUUGCUAUGAACCUUGUGGCCUGUAGAGGACACUAGAGGACAUGUUGGUCGUAUUCUUGUCCUUGUAGACGAGCUGGUCUUCAUGUCCUCUCACUGUCUCUGUCUUUUAGACUUGUUCCAGUUCACAGUGUCCAUCGACUUCGUCCGUCUUUCAGUCCAAAGCAAAGCUGGUGAUUGAUGACGGCACCGGUGAGGCUCACGUGUGGUUCUCAGGCGCUCUGGUUCCUCCUCUGCUGGGAUUGGCUGAUUCUAAGUGGGAGGGGCUUCAGAGAGCGCUAAGAGUCAGAGGUCACGUCCGCGUCUACCCCCGGGGGCGGAGCUUGGUGUGCGACUCUGAUGACCCUCUCCUCCACUUCCUGUUGUGUGUGUACAGCAGUGAUGUUGUGUGUGUGAUGUUGUGUGUCGCCA
This is a non-coding RNA of Gasterosteus aculeatus aculeatus (three-spined stickleback), 449 nucleotides long. The record is from RefSeq and is a predicted model, not a curated record. NCBI's taxonomy places the organism in Eukaryota, Metazoa, Chordata, Actinopteri, Perciformes, Gasterosteidae.